GCUGACUUUUAUCAUAUAUCCAAAGUCCAGCCCCUGCAUCUGGUCCAGCCACUGCCCAGGAUAGUGUGGUGACCGUCUGGAGUUUCUGAUUUAUUUGAGAGGCAGAGUGACACAGAGAGAGAGAGAACCUUCCAUCUCUGGUUCACUCCCCAAACGACCAGGCCAGCAGGCAGGAGCGCCAUCCAGGUCUCCCACGCGGGUGGCAGGGGCCCAAACACUCUAACCAGUGGUUGCAUGAGAAGCCGCUGCUGCAGGCAGCAGCUUAGCCCGUCUUCGCGCCACAAUGCUGGCCCUGACCGUCACUAAUUUGAAUCCAGAGGAAUGUGAUCUCUGCCCCCGUAGAUGCAUGAGUCCGUUUGGGGGCUUUCUGGUUUUUUUUUUUUUUUUUUUUUUUUUCUGUUCAUCUUCUCUCGGAAUCUUGCGCAAACACCACCCUCUCUCCGCUCCGAGGGCUGACUCCUGACUUCUGCCUGCACAGGCCGGCUGUCGUCUGCCCUUGAAUGGAUCCCGUCUUUUCUCCCUGCCUAUGAGUUUGCCAGGAUUGCUGUCGCUGGGACGAAGCAUUGCAGCUCACACGGUGGAUGUCACCAUCCAGUGGGUUCUGAAGCCGGCAAGUCCAAGACAGAGGCGUGAGCGGGGCGGGCUCCUGCCGAGAGCUGCGAGGGCAAGCCUACCCCAAUUCCCAGUGUCUUGAGAAGUUGGAAAGUCCGGGCUCCCAGGUGACGUGGCGGGUGGAAGCCGCCUCUUUUGGAACAGGUGUUUCCACUGCAAGAGCUCGGCCGCACCCGUGGCCCUGCGGGCGGGCGCCAGCAAGAGCGACAGUCACAGCACCACAGGACGCAAGCCACACGGGAAGGAAGUGCUGUGAGCGCCCCCAGCCCCCUCCCUUCUUCCCUCCCCCCUCCCCCCUCCCCACAUCCUGCAUCUGCGGGUUUCCCCAGUCAUUGCUGUGUCUCCCGCCAGCAUCUCCAUCUCCAUAAAUAAGCUCUCCCCACCCACCCCCCAGCCCCUGCCCGCUACUGCGCCCCUGAACUUUCUGAUGGCCUUGGGACUGCCGCUGAAGUUGCAAAGUAAUCUGGCCCUCCCCGGCCAGCGGGCCCAGAGGACUGGCCUGGUGAGCACACGAUCAAAGUAGCCACUGUGACUCCGGCCAGCUCCUAUCGCCCGGCCGGCCGGAGGCCAGCAUGCGGCGGCCCCACCCGUUCCCCUUGUUCCCAACUCCCCCUGAGCUCCCCUUCCUGCUCCUGAGGUUUAAGAUUGAUUUAUUUGUUUGAAAGAUAGAGUGUGGGGGGGGGAGAG
RNAcentral lists this long non-coding RNA (1299 nucleotides) under Oryctolagus cuniculus (rabbit). RNAcentral describes it as "lncRNA (ENSOCUG00000030593.1)". The record is from RNAcentral. Lineage: Eukaryota; Metazoa; Chordata; Mammalia; Lagomorpha; Leporidae.